This is a long non-coding RNA of Mastomys coucha (southern multimammate mouse), 759 nucleotides long. RefSeq lists it as uncharacterized. The transcript has 6 exons. The record is from RefSeq and is a predicted model, not a curated record. NCBI's taxonomy places the organism in Eukaryota, Metazoa, Chordata, Mammalia, Rodentia, Muridae.
UCAAUUUUUUUUUUAUGGCUCUUGUUCUCAUAGACAGUAGACGGCUCUGUUUAUCUCUCCCUUUGCAGCUUUAAUCCCCCCUACCCCCACUCAGCCAUUCCCAAAUUGAGGAUAAUAGCAAUACCACACCAUGAGGCUUAGCUGAGAAUAUCUUCGAGGACCUGACAGCCAUUAUAGGCCUUAAAAAUAUACAACACAUGUGCCGGAGCUGUGCACAUUAACUAUUCCUUGACAGAAACUUGCUUUUAGAAGUAAAGAGCAACGUGGAACCUGUGAGAUGAUUGCAUGCUCGUUUUUACAAGCCUCUUUCACCAUAUCAAUUGAAGACUGAUUAAAUUUUACGCAUGAAAUAAGAAGAAAUGCUGGGUUUGGUAGUGCCUGCCUGUAAUCUGCACUACCCAGAAGGCUAAAGUGAAAAGAUGUUGGUUCAAGGAUGCUGAUGGACAGAGGACAUGAAGCAGAUGUGAUCUGAUAGAGGACGAUAUAUCCGUGCACAUCCUGACAUCCUUCAAUCUUCAACUCUUCUUUCUGAUACUUGCUUUGAAUCUGGAAAAGCUGUAAAGAAAACCUGCUCCUUCUUCUGGAGAAGGCAUUGUGACAAGAGAACACCAAGGGCUGCUGCCUGCUGGAGUUGGAGCCUGCCUUUGUACAGGCUUUGAUACAUAUGGCGGACAAUCUUCUUAGAUUCCCAGUAUCUCCUGAGAAGCCGGCGCAGGAUCCUCAUCCUUCUCAUCAGGUCACCUUCUGAGGCAUCUGAGC